UAAGUGGGUGAAAAACCCGGUUUAAACGGAUGAUAGCCGGGUGACGGAUAACCGGGUGACGGAUUCGGGUCGGAUUCGGGUGAUAUUUUUUCAUCCGUCACCCGAUCCAUCACCCGUUUACCACCCGACCCAUCACCCGUUUAAAGUAAAAACAUAUAUUUUUUUUAGUUUUGGGGUCCUUUAGUCCAUUGUCAAAGGUCCACUGUCUAAAGGCCCAAAGACCCAAAAGAGAGCAAUUAAACUUUAACCUAGGCGCAGCUUCCCUCACUGAGUCUCAACUCAAGCAAGUUCUCAGUUCUCAGUUCUCAGUUCUCAACUUCUCACCAUUACCAUAGUGCCGGACUGCCAUAGCUUUACCGGAGGAUUCUUCUCAACUCAAGGAGAUGAAGAUGAAAAUAUAUGAUGAUUAUGCAAGUGGUAGACUUGUAGUGGAGGCCCUUGUUUGCUGCUGCUGCUGCUAUACAUGGAUGUGAUCUUGUCCUGCUGCUGCUGUGAUUAUUGGUGGUGUUUUGCUGAUGCAGUGCUGCUGUGUUGUUGUUCUGCUGUUGUACAUGGCUGUGUUGUUGUACUACUCUGCUGUGUUGUAGCCUACUGUAUUGUUACGUUGCUACUGGUUUUAUAAUCUGACUUUUAUAAUGAAUUAAGAUAUUGCCAUAUGUUGGCUAAACUUUAUUUGACUCCUUAAUUAUUUGAUGUUGUUGAAUGUUGAA
Beta vulgaris subsp. vulgaris (sugar beet) is the source of this 710-nucleotide long non-coding RNA. RefSeq lists it as uncharacterized. The record is from RefSeq and is a predicted model, not a curated record. Lineage: Eukaryota; Viridiplantae; Streptophyta; Magnoliopsida; Caryophyllales; Amaranthaceae. The transcript has 2 exons.